RNAcentral lists this ribosomal RNA (465 nucleotides) under uncultured bacterium. Its description in RNAcentral is "partial 16S ribosomal RNA". It matches the Rfam family "Bacterial small subunit ribosomal RNA", at positions 28 to 507 of the family's 1533-position model. The record is from RNAcentral.
GACGAACGCUGGCGGCGUGCUUAACACAUGCAAGUCGAACGGAAAGGCCCCUUCGGGGGUACUCGAGUGGCGAACGGGUGAGUAACACGUGCGUAACCUGCCCUUGACUUCGGGAUAACUUCAGGAAACUGGGGCUAAUACCGGAUAGGAAUCCUUGCUGCAUGGUGGGGGUUGGAAAGCUUCGGCGGUUUUGGAUGGACUCGCGGCUUAUCAGCUUGUUGGUGGGGUAGUGGCUUACCAAGGAAUUGACGGGUAGCCGGCCUGGGAGGGCGACCGGCCACAUUGGGACUGGGAGACGGGCCAGACUCCUACGGGAGGCAGCAGGGGGGAAUAUUGCACAAAGGGCGGAAGCCUGAUGCAGCAACGGCGCGUGCGGGAUGACGGCCUUCGGGUUGUAAACCGCUUUCAGCAGGGGCGAAGCUUGUGGUGACGGUACCUGCAGAAGAAGCACCGGCUAACUACGUG